CAGUGACGCACCAGGAAGAGUUUCCCACGCGGGGCGAUUUGUUAGUGUUUCAGCAAAAUGCCGACGUGUUAACCUGUAAAUCUGUAAAGGCGUGUUGAUGAUGUCAUCAGCAGAUGGCCAACUGUGUCUGAACAUCAGCAGCAGUUUGCCCUCGUCUCUGUCUUCCAGGAGGAAACCUCUGAGUUCUGAGCAGAGAUGGACCAGAAAGAAGCAGCGAGCAGAGAAGAGGAGGUUCAGCUCCUCCUCAGAGGAGAGGAGGCGCU
This is a long non-coding RNA of Toxotes jaculatrix (banded archerfish), 263 nucleotides long. RefSeq lists it as uncharacterized. The record is from RefSeq and is a predicted model, not a curated record. NCBI's taxonomy places the organism in Eukaryota, Metazoa, Chordata, Actinopteri, Toxotidae. The transcript has 4 exons.